Molecule: unclassified non-coding RNA, 283 nt
Filed under: uncultured fungus
Lineage: Eukaryota; Fungi
Description: partial contains 5.8S ribosomal RNA, internal transcribed spacer 2, and large subunit ribosomal RNA
Source: RNAcentral
AACGCACAUUGCGCCCCUUGGUAUUCCAUGGGGCAUGCCUGUUCGAGCGUCAUCUAAACCCUCAAGCCCUAUAGGUGUUGUCCCGCCUCGUGCGCGGCCUCCGCCUGGCUUGGUGUUGGGUGCCUGUUCCUGCUCCCCGCAUGGACUCACCCUAAAUGCAUUGGCAGCAGCCCCUCGGCUUCUCGCGCAGCACAUUGCGCAGCGGAGCAUAGAGAGGCGUGCGUCCAGCAAGCGAAUCACCGAAUUUGACCUCGGAUCAGGUAGGGAUACCCGCUGAACUUAA